UCAUGAGGUUCCGGUUCUGUGGUGAUCUGGACUGUCCCGACUGGGUCCUGGCAGAGAUUAGCACACUGGCCAAAAUUUCCUCUGUGAAGCCGCGGCUGCUGUGUAGCCAGGUGCUAAAGGAGCUUCUGGGGCAGGGGAUUGAUUAUGAGAAGAUCCUGAAGCUGACUGCUGAUGCCAAGUUUGAGUCUGGAGACGUGAAGGCCACCAUCGCAGUGCUGAGUUUCAUCCUCUCUAGUGCAGCCAAGCAUAGUGUGGACAGCGAUUCCUUGUCCAGUGAACUGCAGCAGCUGGGGCUGCCCAAAGAGCACGCCACCAGCCUGUGCCGCUGUUAUGAAGAGAAGCAGAGCCCCCUACAGGAGCACCUUCGGGCCUGCAGCCUACGUGUGAACAGGCUAGCCAGCGUGGGCUGGCGGGUAGACUACUCCCUGAGUUCCAGCCUGCUUCAUUCUGUGGAGGAGCCCAUGGUACACCUGCAGCUACAGGUUGCGCCCGCUCCAGGUACCCCGACCCAACCUAUUUCCAUGUCGCUCUCAGCAGACAAGUUCCAGCUGCUCCUGGCAGAACUAAAGCAAGCACAGACCCUGAUGACUGCUUUGGGCUGA
RNA transcript from Grammomys surdaster, 602 nucleotides. It is a transcript of the gene named COMM domain-containing protein 4 pseudogene, with no coding region annotated. The transcript has a single exon. Lineage: Eukaryota; Metazoa; Chordata; Mammalia; Rodentia; Muridae. The record is from RefSeq and is a predicted model, not a curated record.